RNAcentral lists this ribosomal RNA (619 nucleotides) under uncultured bacterium. Its description in RNAcentral is "bacterial SSU rRNA". It matches the Rfam family "Bacterial small subunit ribosomal RNA", at positions 338 to 956 of the family's 1533-position model. The record is from RNAcentral.
CCUACGGGAGGCAGCAGUAAGGAAUAUUGGUCAAUGGGCGCAAGCCUGAACCAGCCAUGCCGCGUGCAGGAUGACGGCCCUCUGGGUUGUAAACUGCUUUUAUACGGGAAGAACAGCAUCUACGUGUAGGUGUUUGACGGUACUGUAAGAAUAAGGACCGGCUAACUUCGUGCCAGCAGCCGCGGUAAUACGAAGGGUCCAAGCGUUAUCCGGAUUUAUUGGGUUUAAAGGGUGCGUAGGCGGCUUUUUAAGUCAGUGGUGAAAGCCUGAUGCUCAACAUCAGAACUGCCAUUGAUACUGAAGAGCUUGAGUACAGUUGAGGUUGGCGGAAUGUGUCAUGUAGCGGUGAAAUGCUUAGAUAUGACACAGAACACCGAUUGCGAAGGCAGCUAGCUAAGCUGUUACUGACGCUGAUGCACGAAAGCGUGGGGAGCAAACAGGAUUAGAUACCCUGGUAGUCCACGCCCUAAACGUUGAUAACCCGUUGUUAGCGAUAUACUGUUAGCGACCAAGCGAAAGCAUUAAGUUAUCCACCGUGGGAAGUACGGUUGCAAGAUUGAAACCUUNAAGAGUAGUUACGGACGNGNGAGAGCGACGACGACGACGACGGAGGAGGAGG